This 303-nucleotide ribosomal RNA is filed under the name uncultured beta proteobacterium. Its description in RNAcentral is "bacterial SSU rRNA". It matches the Rfam family "Bacterial small subunit ribosomal RNA", at positions 172 to 477 of the family's 1533-position model. Lineage: Bacteria; Pseudomonadati; Pseudomonadota; Betaproteobacteria. The record is from RNAcentral.
CAUAAUCUCUGAGGAGGAAAGCAGGGGAUCGCAAGACCUUGCACUUUUGGAGCGGCCGAUGUCUGAUUAGCUAGUUGGUGGGGUAAUGGCCUACCAAGGCUUCGAUCAGUAGCUGGUCUGAGAGGACGGCCAGCCACACUGGGACUGAGACACGGCCCAGACUCCUACGGGAGGCAGCAGUGGGGAAUUUUGGACAAUGGGCGCAAGCCUGAUCCAGCCAUGCCGCGUGAGUGAAGAAGGCCUUCGGGUUGUAAAGCUCUUUCAGCCGGGAAGAAAAGGUUGCGACUAAUAAUCGUAAUUCAU